RNAcentral lists this long non-coding RNA (1304 nucleotides) under Olea europaea (common olive). RNAcentral describes it as "long non-coding RNA (OEUR_LNC012682)". Lineage: Eukaryota; Viridiplantae; Streptophyta; Magnoliopsida; Lamiales; Oleaceae. The record is from RNAcentral.
GGCAUCACUAGAGCCAUGUCCACGACAACUAGUGCUUUGAAAUGGAUCAAGGAGAGGGAUGGUGAUGUAAUAUUAGGACUAUUAUUAUGUGUAGCUCCAAUUUUAAGUCGUAAUUUAGGAAAUAUAAUUAUGUUUAAUUUAGUUGCUUUUAUUUGAUAUUCUCCUUCAAAUAGAAUAUCUCAAACCCUAUAUAAAGGGCACUUUUGCAUUGUAAUAAAGAAACUUUUAAUGAAUGAAAUAAAUUGAAUUUCUUCCCCUCUUCUUAUCUCUUUUCUCCCUCCAUUCUCGUCUUCUCCCCUUUCCCCUUUUCCUACAAUUCUCACGUAACAUCUGGCGUCAGAUGGGGGGCAUCUUGGCAAAGCAAGGCCAAGAGAAUCGCACUGGCCAGCACUGUUUAUUUUAUUUGGACAGCUAGAAACACCAUAAUUUUUGAAGAUCUUAGACCACGUUCCGAUAUCAAUGUUAAACGGCUCAAAACACAUGUAUACAAAGCUCUAUUUUCAUUGUAUCCUUACAUUUUGAUUCAUUUUGAAUCUUUAGCAUUGGGUCUUUAGAUUGUUAUCAUUAUCACAGCAUCAAUGCUUAAAAGCUAAGAUAUUUAGAACAAAUCACUAAUUUUAUUAUUGAAACUAUUCCCUUUGUCCUCUUGGUACUUGGCCUUUCUAAAUGAUUCUCUAAUUUGCAAUUCCCAACUAGAUUUUCAUCGUUGAAGUAGAUUAUUAUUGGUAAUUCCCAGCAAUAUUUACAAUUUUAUACCCAUUUUCAAAUGGAAGGGUUAAAGCCCACGAUUAUUGUUGUUCUUCAUUGAAGCCUGUAAUUGAGGUCUUUCCAAAUCAAAACUUCCUGAUUUUUGCUAAAGACUCCUUUAACUUGAUGAAUUUCAAUAUUAAAUAAAAAGUUUAAAAAAAAUAAUAAAAAAAAAAUCUAAAUUUUCGAAACAUUUCAUAUGGUUUUCGAAGUGCUCUAAUUUUCAGAAUGGAAACUUUUGUGCAAUCUAUGGUGAACCUAUUAAUAUGAUUAUUCACAAUGUAUCACUUGUGUGAAGUAAAGAUUUCUAACCCUUGAGUACCACAUUCGUAUUUGAUGUAGGAUUACAUUUCUGUACACAUUUUGGUGAACCAUAGUGGUCUACAUUUUAGGCAACAUGUUUCUAUCAUCAAAUUACCUUUUAUUGUGCAUUAUACGGUGACCACCACAGUUGUGUACAAAUCCAUGCAAAUAGUUGUCCAUAUGCAAGGCCACACUACAAGUCUUAUCUUUAUGGAACUUACCCCAGGUUGAUCAACUGAAUUAACAGCAUAGCA